CCUACGGGAGGCAGCAGUGAGGAAUAUUGGUCAAUGGACGCGAGUCUGAACCAGCCAAGUAGCGUGCAGGAUGACUGCCCUAUGGGUUGUAAACUUCUUUUAUAUGGGAAUAAACUGUUAUACGUGUGGGUUUUUGUAUGUACCAUAUGAAUAAGGAUCGGCUAACUCCGUGCCAGCAGCCGCGGUAAUACGGAGGAUCCGAGCGUUAUCCGGAUUUAUUGGGUUUAAAGGGUGCGUAGGUGGAUUGUUAAGUCAGUUGUGAAAGUUUGCGGCUCAACCGUAAAAUUGCAUUUGAUACUGGCAGGCUAGAGAACAGUAGAGGUAGGCGGAAUUCGUGGUGUAGCGGUGAAAUGCUUAGAUAUCACGAAGAACUCCGAUUGCGAAGGCAGCUCACUAGGCUGCAACUGACACUGAGGCACGAAAGUGUGGGUAUCAAACAGGAUUAGAUACCCGUGUAGUC
Molecule: ribosomal RNA, 460 nt
Filed under: uncultured bacterium
Lineage: Bacteria
Description: partial 16S ribosomal RNA
Rfam family: Bacterial small subunit ribosomal RNA
Source: RNAcentral